AGUGAACGCUGGCGGUAGGCCUAACACAUGCAAGUCGAACGGCAGCACAGUAAGAGCUUGCUCUUACGGGUGGCGAGUGGCGGACGGGUGAGGAAUACAUCGGAAUCUGCUUUUUCGUGGGGGAUAACGUAGGGAAACUUACGCUAAUACCGCAUACGACCUACGGGUGAAAGCAGUGGAUCUUCGGACCUUGCGCGAUUGAAUGAGCCGAUGUCGGAUUAGCUAGUUGGCGGGGUAAAGGCCCACCAAGGCGACGAUCCGUAGCUGGUCUGAGAGGAUGAUCAGCCACACUGGAACUGAGACACGGUCCAGACUCCUACGGGAGGCAGCAGUGGGGAAUAUUGGACAAUGGGCGCAAGCCUGAUCCAGCCAUACCGCGUGGGUGAAGAAGGCCUUCGGGUUGUAAAGCCCUUUUGUUGGGAAAGAAAAGCAGCAGGUUAAUACCCCGCUGUUCUGACGGUACCCAAAGAAUAAGCCCCGGCUAACUUCGUG
RNAcentral lists this ribosomal RNA (492 nucleotides) under uncultured bacterium. RNAcentral's name for it is "partial 16S ribosomal RNA". It matches the Rfam family "Bacterial small subunit ribosomal RNA", at positions 29 to 507 of the family's 1533-position model. The record is from RNAcentral.